Thunnus maccoyii (southern bluefin tuna) is the source of this 2808-nucleotide long non-coding RNA. RefSeq lists it as uncharacterized. NCBI's taxonomy places the organism in Eukaryota, Metazoa, Chordata, Actinopteri, Scombriformes, Scombridae. The record is from RefSeq and is a predicted model, not a curated record. The transcript has 4 exons.
UUCACAGGUCUCGGCUUUCUUCCUCUUCCCUCCUUCCUUUUGUUUGAGAUACCUUCACUGAAAGAGAACUUUAAAUUCUUUUUCAAAGACCCAGGAAACACACAAGGACACCAGGACAAGCCAACAUCAAGAAAUCAAACUCGACUGCCGACAUUUUAAGGACACCAGGUCUGCAUUCUUUGCUUCUGGUGUGUCUUGUCCAUCCAUUCAUCUCUUCCCUCUCCUAUUCUCCUUCCACGUAUCACGCCCUCCCUUAUUUGUCUAGUGUUUCCUUCCUUUCUUCCUUACACCCCCUCUUCUAUGAUGUCCACCCCUUUCCCUGCUCCUCAACCAAGAGGCAUUGACCACAGCCUGCCAACCUGUGGAGAGACUCGGUGCAGCGGCCAUGGUACCUGUGUGAGUCCUCUGGGUGGCGGUACUGGUUUCGUGUGCGACUGUAACCUGGGCUACCGGGGCCAAUCCUGCGAGGACACAGUCAAUGGGUCACUAAGUUUGCCGCUGACCCUGAGUGUGCUGGGCGUCAUCGUAGGGCUCCUGAUCCUGGCUUUCAUCGUCGCCAAGAUAAGACAGAAGCAAAAGAAGAAGCAAAGGAGAGAUCUGGCAGCAAAACAUGGCUACAACAUUGCUGUGUAAUGUGGACAAAUCUCCAUAAUAUCCAUUAUAUCUGAGGUCAACCGUGACAUUACGGCCAGUGACACUGGAAGUGAGCUUCCAUCAGCAUUCCUCUGCAGCAAGCUUACAGUGCAACUUAUUCAAGUGUGAACUAUGUAAAAAUGGACUCUACAGUUCUACUUUAAUGGCUGUCUUGUGGCUACUACUUUAUAACUGAUGCUGAAGCAUCCCAGGAACUCCAGUAGUGAACUGAGGUUUUUACACUUCAAGCAACACGGCUGAUGGAUCAGCCUGUUCUGCCCAACCGUGCCCUGAUUACAUUUGUAAUCUGCAUAUACUGUUAAAAUUCCUCACAUUUCACACUGCCAGACCAUUGUGAUUGUCCAUAGAGGGAAACUAAAACCUAUUUCUAUGUUGUCAUAGGCCAACAGUGACACAGCUUCACUGUUUUCACGUAUCAUAUUUGAUGAUGGGUGAAAUACAACUUUAAAUUAUAUCCCCAAACACAUGAUUGCAUUGAAAAACUACUCAACAGAGGGGGCUAAUGGCAGGUACAGUAUGUAUCACACCAACACCCACAAAGUGCUCUCAGUUACUUCAUUUAAACAGGUAACUAGUUGUUGCCUUGCCCUACAAAACAAGCCUUUUCUGAUCCGAUGCCCCUAUCAGCAGGACAAAAAUACGGUUUUAUGAUUUUGUUUCAUUUUGGUGAAUUAUCAUGGCUAUCUAGUGCUAAUGAACUACGAUUAAACAUGAACAAAUACUGUAACCAUAAAUCCCAACAGUAGAUGCAAGCAUUUUUUGUGUUGUGAGCAUACUUUUGAAAGUCCACACACUGACAGAAUUUCAUGAACUAAAUUAUCAUGUUGUUUGUAGUUGGAAUGCCCAGGAAGAAAUGUCAGGAUCUGUCAAUACUCCUAUUCAAAAUCUACUUCCUUAACCACAUCACUUGGGCCAAAGCUUGUUUCCAUAGAGAAGCUGAUCAUGUCUAACACUGGCGCCAUUUAGUAAAAUAAUGCAAAUGUUCACCUAUCAGUUACUGGCUUUGACAGGGUAGUGGCUUCCUUUAAAUACAGCGAAAGCAGAGAGAAUUGCUACAGUUGCAGUCAUAGUGAGCGUUUCUUACUGCCAUGUUUUUGUACGUAACGCUGAAUUCAUACAAGUGUUGAAAACCAGAAGUGGAAGAACUUCAGAUGUUUCUACAGUAAUCCAUUUCAUAGAGGUAAGCCACAUUUGAUUUGCCAUUGCUUCUGUUUUUAUCCAACUUUAAUCAUAAAGUAUGCACUUUAACCUGCUUUAUUUAUCUGCUUUAAGUCCUUCACUACAUUUUUGUUUUGUUUGUUUUAUGUGCUUUGCUUCAAGUUGAACAUUUGACUUUGAUGCACACAAAGCACCUAUAUGUCACUGCCAGUCUUUAUUUUUGCUUGCCAUCUGAGUGACAAGAAUAGAGGUCUUCACUUUAUUAUAAGUGGUAAUAUGCAAAUCGAGACUUGAGAUACUAGAGGACAGACACUGAAGUUUUAAUCACGGACAGAAUCAUUACAGAUGGUUUGUUCUCAAAAGUAGCCGUGUCUCUCAUUUUGAGUGAGAAAUUGGGCUUCUUUUCCUCACAAUUUUCCAAAUUGUAUACAUUUUGUAUGAAAAGUAAAGAAAUGGUGGUUUCAAACUGAACAUGUACAAGAUCAGGGCAGGCAAAUUCAUUUCACUAUGGGCUUUUAAAUCAGCCCCUGUGCUCUCUGAGUCUUGGCUUGCAGAUUGAUUACCACUCAAAUUUAUUUUGACAUAAAUAGACUUCUGUACCCAUGCAGAUGUCUCAAAAUCAAAGCAUAGCAUACAUGAUUUGGCCCUUACUGAGUGGUGAAGUCACUCUCUGGAAUAUGUAUUAAAUACUUUUUUAUAUUCUGUUGUUUCUUUUGUACUCUUCUGACUGAAUUACUAUGUUUUAUACUGUAUGUAUUUUUUGUAACUCCAUUGAUAACUACAAGCAUUAGCAAGAGGGAUAACUUUUACUAUGAUCUUUAUCUAUUUUGUGUUGCUGGAUUACACAAUAAUUCAUUUGAGGAUGAUUGUGGAAGAUGUUUUGACAACUGUAUGUGUAUUUCUAUGUAAUCAUGCACACACAAACACACACACACUGGUUUUCAGUUUCUCAUCUUUCUGAAGACAAUAAAAACUGUGUGUCCAGGUGUGUUGAAA